RNAcentral lists this unclassified non-coding RNA (224 nucleotides) under plant metagenome. RNAcentral's name for it is "partial contains small subunit ribosomal RNA, internal transcribed spacer 1, and 5.8S ribosomal RNA". The record is from RNAcentral.
UUUCCGUUGGUGAACCAGCGGAGGGAUCAUUACAGGACUCGCAAGACUCCUUCACCCUGUGAACCUCACUACAAGCACGUUGCUUCGGCGGGUGUCCCGGCGGGGGUUUUCCCUCGCCGGGGCGCACAGCCCGCCGGCAGCCUACUAUACUCUGUCUCUUUGCGUUGGCAUCUCGAGAAAAAACAAACAAGUUAAAACUUUCAACAACGGAUCUCUUGGUUCCG